CUUUACUGGGAUGACAUCCUUUACCAAUACACAGUCGGCCACCUAAGUUCUGGCCUAACCAGUUUUCUAAUUUCAGAUCAACACUGCAUAAAUAUUCUACCGCUGUGAAGCACAUACUGGAUUCUCUUUUGGUCACAGUGGCGAGGAAUCUGGGACUGGAACCAGCAACGAUCGCUGAGAAAUGUGCCAGCGGGAUACAAUCAUUCAGGAUGAACUACUGUCCCUGUCUCCUGUGCAUGCGGCAGCCGGACAAAGUCGUCAGCUUCUCUCCACACUCUAAUUCUGAUCUGCUCUCUCGUGCUCCAAGUAAAUAAUGUGCAAGGCGUGCAGAUCAAGAGGAAUGACAUCUGGUUUCCUGUCAGUCCAGUCGAGGGCUUGUUCAUUGUCAACAUCGGAGAUAAUUUCGAGGAUGAUGGACACCUUUGGUCAAAAUUGUAGAAAGAAUCGGACCUUGUACAGCAAGAGCCUGUACUUGGUGCUGAAAUCUGUGGUGGGAUGGUGGCUGUGGGUGGUCGUGGUGGCUUCGGUCAUGUUGGUGGUGGUUGUAGAGGGCGUGGGCAAGGUGGAUCGUUGGGUGUUCAAGGUGGUUGUCUUGCUGGUGGAAUCGGUAGUGUUCAUGGUUGUGCGCAGGGGCUCUGCCCAUGGCCGUGAUC
This is a long non-coding RNA of Lolium rigidum, 653 nucleotides long. RefSeq lists it as uncharacterized. The record is from RefSeq and is a predicted model, not a curated record. NCBI's taxonomy places the organism in Eukaryota, Viridiplantae, Streptophyta, Magnoliopsida, Poales, Poaceae. The transcript has 3 exons.